This 497-nucleotide ribosomal RNA is filed under the name uncultured bacterium. RNAcentral's name for it is "partial 16S ribosomal RNA". It matches the Rfam family "Bacterial small subunit ribosomal RNA", at positions 28 to 507 of the family's 1533-position model. The record is from RNAcentral.
GAUGAACGCUGGCGGCGUGCCUAAUACAUGCAAGUCGAGCGAACAGACGAGGAGCUUGCUCCUCUGACGUUAGCGGCGGACGGGUGAGUAACACGUGGAUAACCUACCUAUAAGACUGGGAUAACUUCGGGAAACCGGAGCUAAUACCGGAUAAUAUCUUGAACCGCAUGGUUCAAUAGUGAAAGACGGUUUUGCUGUCACUUAUAGAUGGAUCCGCGCCGCAUUAGCUAGUUGGUAAGGUAACGGCUUACCAAGGCAACGAUGCGUAGCCGACCUGAGAGGGGGAUCGGCCACACUGGAACUGAGAAACGGUCCAGACUCCUACGGGAGGCAGCAGUAGGGAAUCUUCCGCAAUGGGCGAAAGCUUGACGGAGCAACGCCGCGUGAGUGAUGAAGGUCUUCGGAUCGUAAAACUCUGUUAUUAGGGAAGAACAAAUGUGUAAGUAACUAUGCACGUCUUGACGGUACCUAAUCAGAAAGCCACGGCUAACUACGUG